GACGGAGGAUGCAAGCGUUAUCCGGAAUUAUUGGGCGUAAAGCGUCCGCAGGCGGCAGUUCAAGUCUGCUGUCAAAGACCGGGGCUUAACUUCGGAAAGGCAGUGGAAACUGAACAGCUAGAGUAUGGUAGGGGGAGAGGGAAUUCCUGGUGUAGCGGUGAAAUGCGUAGAUAUCAGGAAGAACAUCGGUGGCGAAGGCGCUCUGCUGGACCAUAACUGACACUCAGGGACGAAAGCGAGGGGAGCGAAUGGG
This 253-nucleotide ribosomal RNA is filed under the name uncultured bacterium. Its description in RNAcentral is "partial 16S ribosomal RNA". It matches the Rfam family "Bacterial small subunit ribosomal RNA", at positions 524 to 776 of the family's 1533-position model. The record is from RNAcentral.